RNAcentral lists this ribosomal RNA (483 nucleotides) under uncultured bacterium. Its description in RNAcentral is "partial 16S ribosomal RNA". It matches the Rfam family "Bacterial small subunit ribosomal RNA", at positions 28 to 507 of the family's 1533-position model. The record is from RNAcentral.
GACGAACGCUGGCGGCGUGCUUAACACAUGCAAGUCGAACGCUGAAGCUCAGCUUUUGCUGGGUGGAUGAGUGGCGAACGGGUGAGUAACACGUGAGUAACCUGCCCUCUUCUUUGGGAUAACGCCCGGAAACGGGUGCUAAUACUGGAUAUUCACUGAUCUUCGCAUGGGGGUUGGUGGAAAGGUUUGUUCUGGUGGGGGAUGGGCUCGCGGCCUAUCAGCUUGUUGGUGGGGUGAUGGCCUACCAAGGCUUUGACGGGUAGCCGGCCUGAGAGGGUGACCGGUCACAUUGGGACUGAGAUACGGCCCAGACUCCUACGGGAGGCAGCAGUGUGGAAUAUUGCACAAUGGGCGAAAGCCUGAUGCAGCGACGCCGCGUGAGGGAUGGAGGCCUUCGGGUUGUAAACCUCUUUCGCUCAUGGUCAAGCCGCGACGUGGGUUGUGGUGAGGGUAGUGGGUAAAGAAGCGCCGGCUAACUACGUG